Molecule: long non-coding RNA, 1044 nt
Organism: Clupea harengus (Atlantic herring)
Lineage: Eukaryota; Metazoa; Chordata; Actinopteri; Clupeiformes; Clupeidae
Source: Ensembl
UGACAGCGACGGGGCAACUGACUCCGAUGACUUGUGGGAGGAUGAGUUGGAGAGACAGGAAACCGAGAGAAAGAGAAAGGAGAUUGAGAAAGUGAGAGUUGAGACCGAGCGAAAAAGAGAACAGGAAAAAAGGAUGGAGAAGAUGGAGAUAACUAAAGCAGUGAUGGAGAGAAAGGAACAGGAGGGGAGGCUGAGAGAAAAAGAAAGGGCCAAACUAAGAGAAGAGGAGAUAAAGAAAAAAGAGAUGCAAGAGAAGACAAAGAGAGAGCUGGAGAAGGGGAAAAAAGCCAAAGUGGCCAAGAAAUUGCCCCAGGCACAUAACAGAGAGAAAAGUGAGAGAAAGAGAGGAGAUGAGAAAGAUUGCAGAGGAGAUGGAAAGAAGGUGGAAGGCUAUACCAGGAUACAGCGAUGACAGGGACGGGGAGACUGCCUCCGAUGACUUGUGGAUGGAUGAGGUGGAGAAGAGGCGGCAAGUGGAGGUCAGAAACCCCCAAGACAAACCUCAGGAAGAGGGGGAGAGAGGACACACCCAGCCUGGAAGUGCCCAAGUAAACGUAGAGCAGAAAAAGAAAGGACCAUCUGUGUUGAAGUGGGUGAAGAAGAGACUGAGUUUUGGGACCACAAAAGUGAAACAGUGAUAUGGACACACAAAGACACAUAUGGACAAUGAAUGGGAAGGAACGGAAUCAGAGUUUCCAUAAAUCUGUCACAUCCAUAUCAUCUUCCCAUCUCACAUCCUACAUAUCAUCUUCCUAUCUCAGUGGACAGGAAAAUAAAACAUUUUGGAGAAACACACACACAUGCAUGCAAUACAAUACAAAUAAAAUCUAUUUUGCAUUGAGAACUUUGUUCUUUAUUUAGACCAAGUAUUGUUUUAGGGUUUAAUUAUAAAUUCUAGGUGUUUAUGCUACCCUUUUAAAUCUAAAAAACAAAGACUAUAAAUACUGAACAUUUGUAUUCUACACUUCUACACUUACAUUAACAUAUCAUUUCAGGCAUCAUAAACUGCCAUAAUUCUUUGCAAUAAAAAUAUUUCACUUGAAC